RNAcentral lists this ribosomal RNA (245 nucleotides) under uncultured Treponema sp. RNAcentral's name for it is "partial 16S ribosomal RNA". It matches the Rfam family "Bacterial small subunit ribosomal RNA", at positions 524 to 768 of the family's 1533-position model. Lineage: Bacteria; Pseudomonadati; Spirochaetota; Spirochaetia; Treponematales; Treponemataceae. The record is from RNAcentral.
CACGUAAGUUGCGAGCGUUGUUCGGAAUUAUUGGGCGUAAAGGGCAUGUAGGCGGUUAUGCAAGUCUGGUGUGAAAUUCAGGGGCCCAACCCCUGAACUGCGUUGGAAACUGCGUAACUUGAGUCACUGAGGGGCAGGCAGAAUUCCUGGUGUAGGGGUGAAAUCUGUAGAUAUCAGGAAGAAUACCAAUGGCGAAGGCAGCCUGCCAGCAGAUGACUGACGCUGAGGUGCGAAGGUGCGGGGAG